AGCUGNUUCUCAAGAAAAGAAUUUAAGUCCAACCUAAAGUAACUCCUGAUUAUCAUAAAUCACCUCACCACUUUAGAGCAAUUCAAAUGAGGUACAGCCCAUUUGAUAUAGGAUACAACCUUAACUAACGGGUAACAUUAAAUCUACACCUCCAAGUAGGCCUAAGAGCAGCCACCCUUUAAAAAAGCGUCAAAGCUUAAUCAUGUUCACAUCAAUUUUUAAUCUUCAAUUGACCCCUUUUACCUUACUGAGAAUUUCUAUAUCAUAUAGAAUAUUUUAUGCUAAAACUAGUAACAAGAGUAAACCCUCUCCCAAUGCAAACACAAGCCAGCAAGAACCCAUCACUGGCAAUUAACAGACUUAAACAAAAGUAGCAACAUCUCUAGAAAACCCUACUCAUCCCAACUGUUAACCUUAUACCAGAGCAUUUCAGGAAAGAUUAAAAGAAAAAGAAGGAACUCGGCAAACACUAAUCCCGCCUGUUUACCAAAAACAUCGCCUCUUGCCCCCAUAAGAGGUCAAGCCUGCCCAGUGACUUUGUUCAACGGCCGCGGUAUCCUAACCGUGCAAAGGUAGCGUAAUCACUUGUUUUCUAAAUAAAGACCAGUAUGAAAGGCAUCACGAGGAUUAAACUGUCUCCUUUUUCCAAUCAGUGAAACUAAUCUCCCCGUGAAGAAGCGGGGAUUAUCCUAUAAGACG
This 699-nucleotide ribosomal RNA is filed under the name Pristimantis tinguichaca. RNAcentral's name for it is "partial 16S ribosomal RNA". It matches the Rfam family "Bacterial large subunit ribosomal RNA", at positions 847 to 2082 of the family's 2925-position model. The record is from RNAcentral. Lineage: Eukaryota; Metazoa; Chordata; Amphibia; Anura; Strabomantidae.